CACUUGAUGAAUAAGGAGGAGUGCAAGAAGGUUCCGGUUCCGAAUUUCAUUCAUUGUUUGAAUAAAUAGGUUCAGGGAAGGGAUUUCAUUCAUUUACUCUCUUGUAAAGUACAGGUGAAGGUGAAGGAGCGAAGCAACGAGACCGAGAGGGAGAGGAGCGAAGUAAUGAGACCAUACAGAAUAGGUUCAGGAUUGAAUUCAUUUACUCGAGUGUAAAGGGAAUAGAGGUUCCGGUUUCGUAGAGAAGCUGAUAGUUUACGAGGUUCAGUUCAGUCGAAUAAAUCCCCCGUAUUGAUCUUUUUCUUUUCCCUUGUUCAAUCGGUUGAAGGAGCGAAGCCACUUAUAGUUCAAGAAGGGAGCCGAAAGAGCAGAGGUGAAGGAGAAUGAAUCGGAAAGGGGCGAAGCAGUGAGACCGAGUUUUCCUCCUUCAAUAAGGGAGGGGAGUAGGUUGAGUCCGCAAAAGGAGACUCAACCCUACUCCCUUUGUCUAUGGAAGCCGCUUUCCCUCGUGAAAGAGUUCAAUCUGGUUCAUUCAGUAGUGAAGGAGAAGGAAUCUUUCGUCUUUGUUUCCAGUUCGUGAAAGAAUAACUCACAAUAACUUAAGGGAAUAGAGUCAAAGCUGAAUGAGUAAGUAGUGAGAGGAGAAGAGGAUAGGUUCAGUCUCAUUCAUGUUUCAUUUUCUUCUGAAAUCAAUUCUCUUGUAAAGCAGUUAAUUCAUUGACUCGACUCCCUUCUUUCUUUCAAACACUGUAAACUCGGAGAAGGUUUCGGUUCAGAUUUUUG
Long non-coding RNA from Cucurbita maxima (winter squash), 783 nucleotides. RefSeq lists it as uncharacterized. NCBI's taxonomy places the organism in Eukaryota, Viridiplantae, Streptophyta, Magnoliopsida, Cucurbitales, Cucurbitaceae. The transcript has 3 exons. The record is from RefSeq and is a predicted model, not a curated record.